This 500-nucleotide ribosomal RNA is filed under the name uncultured bacterium. Its description in RNAcentral is "bacterial SSU rRNA". It matches the Rfam family "Bacterial small subunit ribosomal RNA", at positions 26 to 518 of the family's 1533-position model. The record is from RNAcentral.
AGGAUGAACGCUAGCGACAGGCUAACACAUGCAAGUCGAGGGGCAGCAUAAAAGUAGCAAUACUUAGGUGGCGACCGGCGCACGGGUGAGUAACGCGUAUGCAACCUACCGUAUCAGAGGGGAAUAACCCGGCGAAAGUCGGACUAAUACCGCAUAAAACAGGGACACCGCAUGGUGAUAUUUGUUAAAGAAAUUCGCUGAUAGAUGGGCAUGCGUUCCAUUAGGUAGUUGGUGAGGUAACGGCUCACCAAGCCGACGAUGGAUAGGGGAACUGAGAGGUUGGUCCCCCACACUGGUACUGAGACACGGACCAGACUCCUACGGGAGGCAGCAGUGAGGAAUAUUGGUCAAUGGGCGAGAGCCUGAACCAGCCAAGUCGCGUGAAGGAAGAAGGAUCUAUGGUUCGUAAACUUCUUUUGCAGGGGAAUAAAGUGCAGGACGUGUCCUGUUUUGUAUGUACCCUGAGAAUAAGGAUCGGCUAACUCCGUGCCAGCAGCCGC